CUGCUCAAUGAUUUUUUAAAUUGCUGUGGUAUUUUGACUAUACAAAGGUAUUGUAAUAAGGUUUUAAUUGAAUGCUAAAAGAAUGGAAUUACAGGGAAAAGUUUUUUUAAAUUUAAUAAUUGAAGUUAUUUUAAUUUGUGAAGAAACAAUUAUAUAAAUUAAAGACAAGAAGACCCUAAGAAUUUAAGAAUUUUUAUUAAUAUAUUAUAUGUAUAUAUAUAUAUAAAUAAAAUUCUUAGUUGGGGCAACUAAAAAAUAUAUUAAACUUUUUUUUUAAAAAAAUGACCCAUUAUUAAUGAUAAUAUGAAAAAAAUACUCUAGGGAUAACAGCGUAAUAAUUUUUGAUAGAUCUUAUAGACAAAAUAGUUUGCGACCUCGAUGUUGGAUUAGGAUACUUUUUUAAUGAAGAUGUUAAAAAAAGAAGUUUGUUCAACUUUUAAAUUCCUACUUGAUCUGAGUUCAGACCGG
This 468-nucleotide ribosomal RNA is filed under the name Dermacentor silvarum. RNAcentral's name for it is "partial 16S ribosomal RNA". The stretch from base 323 to 468 matches the Rfam family "Bacterial large subunit ribosomal RNA", at positions 2473 to 2619 of the family's 2925-position model. Lineage: Eukaryota; Metazoa; Arthropoda; Arachnida; Ixodida; Ixodidae. The record is from RNAcentral.